RNAcentral lists this non-coding RNA (23 nucleotides) under Arabidopsis thaliana (thale cress). The record is from RNAcentral. Lineage: Eukaryota; Viridiplantae; Streptophyta; Magnoliopsida; Brassicales; Brassicaceae.
UCAGAAUGCUACUCGACACUGCC